AAAGAAACUAACAAGGAUUCCCCUAGUAACUGCGAGUGAAGCGGGAAAAGCUCAAAUUUAAAAUCUGGCAGUUCUAUGWCUGUCCGAGUUGUAAAUUAGAGAAGUGCUACCCGUGCUGGACCGUGUACAAGUCUCUUGGAAUGGAGCAUCGUGGAGGGUGAGAAUCCCGUACAUGACACGGACUGCCAGGACAUUGUGGUGCGCUCUCGAAGAGUCGAGUUGUUUGGGAAUGCAGCUCAAAAUGGGUGGUAAAUUCCAUCUAAAGCUAAAUAUUGGGGAGAGACCGAUAGCGAACAAGUACCGUGAGGGAAAGAUGAAAAGAACUUUGGAAAGAGAGUUAAACAGUACGUGAAAUUGCUGAAAGGGAAACGCUUGAAGUCAGUCGCGUUGUGCGGGAUUCAGCCUUGCUUUUGCUUGGUUUACUUCCUGUAUGANGGGUCAGCAUCAGUUUUGACCAAUGGAUAAUGGUGUAGGAAAUGUGGCAUCUUCGGAUGUGUUAUAGACUUGCAUCGCAUACAUUGGUUGGGACUGAGGAACUCAGCACGCCGAAAGGCCGGGGUUUAUUCCACGUUCGUGCUUAGGAUGCUGGCAUAAUGGCUUUAAUCGACCCGUCU
This 614-nucleotide ribosomal RNA is filed under the name uncultured Agaricales. Its description in RNAcentral is "eukaryotic LSU rRNA". It matches the Rfam family "Eukaryotic large subunit ribosomal RNA", at positions 58 to 654 of the family's 3401-position model. The record is from RNAcentral. Lineage: Eukaryota; Fungi; Basidiomycota; Agaricomycetes; Agaricales.